This 314-nucleotide ribosomal RNA is filed under the name Ixodes ricinus (castor bean tick). Its description in RNAcentral is "partial large subunit ribosomal RNA". The record is from RNAcentral. Lineage: Eukaryota; Metazoa; Arthropoda; Arachnida; Ixodida; Ixodidae.
AAAAGCUUUCUUUAAUUGAAUAAUUGAAUUUAAUUUUUUAGUGCAAAAGCAAAAAUAAAAAUUAGGGACAAGAAGACCCUAUGAAUUUUUUAUUAAAUUUUAUAAAACUUUAUAUAAAAUUUAAUUUAAUUGGGGUGAUGGAAAAAGAAUAAAUAUCUUUUUUUUAAAAAAAAAUUGGUUCCGUUUUUAGCGAUUAAAUGAAAAAAAUACUCUAGGGAUAACAGCGUAAUAAUUUUGGAUAGUUCAUAUAGAUAAAAUAGUUUGCGACCUCGAUGUUGGAUUAGGAUUCUUUUUUGGNGAANAAGUUAAAAAAA